Molecule: unclassified non-coding RNA, 284 nt
Filed under: Hevea brasiliensis (rubber tree)
Lineage: Eukaryota; Viridiplantae; Streptophyta; Magnoliopsida; Malpighiales; Euphorbiaceae
Source: RNAcentral
UAAAUAAAUAAAUAAAAUAAAAACACCUGAAAGUAAAAAAAUUUCAAAUUUUCGUUCAUUAAGCAGCCGAAAAACCCAGAAUCAAAAGUAACCCAAAUACCCAUAAGUCUCCGAGAUGGUUAAAAAGAAUAUGCGAAUCGAUGAUUACUACUAAGAGAUGAAGAAGACACUGAGUUGAAUAAAGAAAAAAGAAAAUUCAUUAGAAAGUUAGGGUUUUAGAUUGCAAUAGAUAAAAAUCCAAAUUUGAAGUUCUACUUUACCUCUCUCUCUCUAUAUAUAAAAAU